Molecule: unclassified non-coding RNA, 370 nt
Filed under: fungal sp.
Lineage: Eukaryota; Fungi
Description: partial internal transcribed spacer region
Rfam family: Eukaryotic small subunit ribosomal RNA (bases 1-64)
Source: RNAcentral
CUUAUUUAGAGGAAGUAAAAGUCGUAACAAGGUUUCCGUAGGUGAACCUGCGGAAGGAUCAUUACCGUGUAUCCACGUACAAACAAUGUGAACUGUUCCCAAUGGGAGUGAAUGUUAUGAAAAGCUUGCUGAUGGCGGUUCAGGACUUUUGUCUCGAACUGAGCUUUCAUAAUGGCUUCGCGCAAGCGAUGGCAAGUUCAUUUUCAUUGAGUUAUCUACCAUCGGUUGUGAAACCUUAUUAACCCUAUGUACCUUCUGAACUAAACUAUUCUGCGAUGCUCGAGGCCUUGUUGGCUCAGCCACGGCCGAGGGUUCACAGAAAUUGAUACCAAAUUAAGAACAACUCUUAACAACGGAUAUCUUGGUUCUC